RNAcentral lists this ribosomal RNA (497 nucleotides) under uncultured bacterium. Its description in RNAcentral is "partial 16S ribosomal RNA". It matches the Rfam family "Bacterial small subunit ribosomal RNA", at positions 28 to 507 of the family's 1533-position model. The record is from RNAcentral.
GAUGAACGCUGGCGGCGUGCCUAAUACAUGCAAGUCGAGCGAACAGACGAGGAUCUUGCUUCUCUGACGUUAGCGACGGACGGGUGAGUAACACGUGGAUAACCUACCUAUAAGACUGGGAUAACUUCGGGAAACCGGAUCUAAUACCGGAUAAUAUAUUGAACGGCAUGGUUCAAUAGUGAAAGACGGUUUUGCUGUCACUUAUAGAUGGAUCCGCGCCGCAUUAGCUAGUUGGUAAGGUAACGGCUUACCAAGGCAACGAUGCGUAGCCGACCUGAGAGGGUGAUCGGCCACACUGGAACUGAGACACGGUCCAGACUCCUACGGGAGGCAGCAGUAGGGAAUCUUCCGCAAUGGGCGAAAGCCUGACGGAGCAACGCCGCGUGAGUGAUGAAGGUCUUCGGAUCGUAAAACUCUGUUAGUAGGGAAGAACAAAUGUGUAAGUAACUAUGCACGUCUUGACGGUACCUAAACAGAAAGCCACGGCUAACUACGUG